Molecule: long non-coding RNA, 241 nt
Filed under: Elaeis guineensis (African oil palm)
Lineage: Eukaryota; Viridiplantae; Streptophyta; Magnoliopsida; Arecales; Arecaceae
Description: long non-coding RNA (EGUI_LNC066166)
Source: RNAcentral
UGCGCCAAUAAGGUCCCACGCCAACCAGAUUUGAUGCCAAUUUUUCCAUGCCCCCUUUCCUUUCUUUAGCAUGUAAUAACCUCUUUUAAACUCCUUAUUCACUGUGUGAAACCUGGGUGCAAAAGGAGUUGGGUUGGCUGACACAAAAAUUGCUAGAGUCCUAAUAGAAUUGGACUCUUAUUUCCUAUCCAAACACCUUAUCCUCUUAGCAUAUUUAAACAUGGGUCAUGAGGGUUGUUAG